UACGUAGGGGGCAAGCGUUGUCCGGAAUUAUUGGGCGUAAAGAGCGCGUAGGCGGUCCGAUAAGUCGGCUGUGAAAGUCAAGGGCUCAACCCUUGAAAGCCGGCCGAUACUGCCGGGCUAGAGUCCGGAAGAGGCGAGUGGAACUCCUGGUGUAGCGGUGGAAUGCGCAGAUAUCAGGAAGAACACCAACGGCGAAGGCAGCUCGCUGGGACGGAACUGAGGCUAAGGCGCGAAAGCGUGGGGAGCGAACAGG
This 253-nucleotide ribosomal RNA is filed under the name uncultured bacterium. RNAcentral describes it as "partial 16S ribosomal RNA". It matches the Rfam family "Bacterial small subunit ribosomal RNA", at positions 524 to 776 of the family's 1533-position model. The record is from RNAcentral.